UACGAAGGUGGCAAGCGUUACUCGGAAUUACUAGGCGUAAAGGGCAGGUAGGCGGUUUGAUAAGUCUGUUGUGAAAGCUCCCGGCUUAACUGGGAGAGGUCAACAGAUACUGUCGAACUUGAGUAUGGGAGAGGGUACUGGAAUUCCUGGUGUAGCGGUGAAAUGCGCAGAUAUCAGGAGGAACACCGAUGGCGAAAGCAGGUACCUGGACCAUUACUGACGCUCAGCUGCGAAAGCUAGGGGAGCAAACAGG
Molecule: ribosomal RNA, 253 nt
Filed under: uncultured bacterium
Lineage: Bacteria
Description: partial 16S ribosomal RNA
Rfam family: Bacterial small subunit ribosomal RNA
Source: RNAcentral